This 75-nucleotide transfer RNA is filed under the name Firmicutes bacterium HGW-Firmicutes-14. RNAcentral's name for it is "tRNA-Val". It matches the Rfam family "tRNA". From Rfam's summary of the family: Transfer RNA (tRNA) molecules are approximately 80 nucleotides in length. Their secondary structure includes four short double-helical elements and three loops (D, anti-codon, and T loops). Lineage: Bacteria; Bacillati; Bacillota. RNAcentral also lists the same sequence under 1 other name. The record is from RNAcentral.
GGGCGAGUAGUUCAGUGGGAGAACGCUUCCUUGACACGGAAGAGGUCGGAGGUUCAAUUCCUCUCUCGCCCACCA